RNAcentral lists this long non-coding RNA (1275 nucleotides) under Anas platyrhynchos platyrhynchos (common mallard). RNAcentral describes it as "lncRNA (ENSAPLG00000029459.1)". Lineage: Eukaryota; Metazoa; Chordata; Aves; Anseriformes; Anatidae. The record is from RNAcentral.
GUCAUUUUCCAGCAUCCGAAGUAGGAAGUAUUGAGUGUCUCUUCCUUCUCUCAACUGACUUACAGUCACAGUGCUUUUCUCUGGCUUGUGGCAGGAUUGUUUCUCUGUUAGCAACUUAUUUUUUAAUACACCAUUCUGACACCUUGACAGUUCAUGUGCUAAAUCAAACUUUACAAUUACUGGCAGGCAGUUAUUAGAUGUAUUGCACUUAAUUAACUUUGCACCUAAUUACAAGCAGUGCUGGCCGAUUACAAAGGGCAUAAAUAUAUUAGUGCCCUAGCUGUCACAUCAUGAACAUAGCUGUUUGAACAAGUCAAGCAAAAGCAAUUACCGCAUUGUGUGCAUGGUGAAGUGUAGCAGAGUGCAGAAAGAGGAAUGAACUGUUUUACUAUUUGCAAGAAUUUAAUUUUGCACUUUGCAUUUCAGGUGACCCAGAUGAGCAAAGAGUAUGAUAAAAGAUUUCCUUUUGUCUGUAUAAAUACUUCAGGAUUGCUUCAUGUGUGUGAAGAGAAAACAAAAGUUGCAUGGUAGGAGCUGACUUAGAUUUUGUUAGAUACCCACCCCUUGUAUCUGAUAAAAUAUGAGGAUUCCAGCAUUAAGGCGGGGGAAACCAACCCAACAGUCUGCAAAUGCAAAAUUUAGUCCAAGACUUCAUUUAUUCAGCAGUGCACGGACAACCCAUCUUAAGCCCAGUCGUAGGAAUUUCAUGGUCAACAGUCUGUACCAUUUGCUUUGUACAAGAUAUUUAACACUUUGUACAGAACAGCGCCCAGGUCACAUGAACAAGUUCCAUCUAUAUUGGCCAAAAAAAGGUCACUAAAACUUGACUUUGCUUGAGGCAAAUGGAAAGAAACAGUCACAAUGUGGAGCUAAAUUAGUGGCUGUAGGUCUUGUAUUCUGUUGUUAUUUACAAGCUCUGCAUAAAGAGAGCUAUGAGGAUGUAUGUAAACCUUUCCCAGGCUAGAACAGCCAUUCAUUGUUAUUUGCUCCUAAAUAGGCUGCCUAUGCUGUUUCUGAUAACUCAUGGAAAAUGUAGGUGGCCUUUAACAAAAGUUUUGGAUGCCUUUGCGAUUGUAUGUACAUGAAAAAGUCAAUUGACUCCUUUGUGUGCAACAGCAUUAAGUAGAAAGUGAGGAGAUAAUGUGUUUUCAAAUACAACAUUACAUCACUGCUGAAAACACUGAUGAAUGCAUUUAAGACCUUGGGUGGCCAGCAAUUUUUACCCAGUAUAAAAUUAGAGGCACUACUGUAGAAAAAUAAACCUGUGCAGGAAAA